Escherichia coli str. K-12 substr. MG1655 is the source of this 78-nucleotide non-coding RNA. NCBI's taxonomy places the organism in Bacteria, Pseudomonadati, Pseudomonadota, Gammaproteobacteria, Enterobacterales, Enterobacteriaceae. The record is from Rfam.
GGCCGGAUAAGGCGUUUACGCCGCAUCCGGCAAUUGGUGCAUGAUGCCUGAUGCGACGCUGUCGCGUCUUAUCGUGCC